UGUCCAUCGACGCUAUGCUGGACGAACUUCUGGGUCUCACUAUCUCCGAGGUGUCGACGAUGGCAACGGUAUGGUGUAAACGCAAUUUGACGGCCUUGCAAUCCGUGACGCUAACCUUAUUUGUUCAAAUACCGGAGCG
Molecule: non-coding RNA, 139 nt
Filed under: Platyophrya macrostoma
Lineage: Eukaryota; Ciliophora; Colpodea; Cyrtolophosidida; Platyophryidae
Source: RNAcentral